CUCAUGUCUGUAACACCAGCACGUUGGGAGGCCAAGGCAGGUGGAUUGCUUCAGGGCAGGAGUUCAAGACCAGCCUGGGCAACAUGGCAAAGCUCCAUUUCUACAAAAAAUACAAAAAUUAGCCUGGUGUGGUGGUACAUGUCUAUAAUCCCAGCUACUUGGGAGGCUGAGGUGGGAGGAUCACUUGAGCCUGGGCUGUCAAGGCUGCAAUGAGCCGUGAAUUUGCCACUGCACUCUAGCCUGGGCAAGAGAGCGAGGCCCUAUCUCAAAAAAAAAAAAAAUACAUAUUUUUGGUAAGAAAGGUUAUACAGAAGGGAAUACUUUUGUAUGAAAAAGUAUCUUGUAUGGUAAAUUUUUGUCCUAAAGUAAAAUGACUGAUUAUUUAGGAAAGAGAGAAGUUUAGAACAAGUCAGAAAGUCCAAGCAUGUCAUAGACGGUUUGUGUAAGUCAUGAUAAGAUUUGUGAAGGGGAAUUCAUGAAAGGAAUUUUGUAUGUGAUUAAAUUGGUUACAGUGAAAAGAAAAUCAUUUAUAAAUAAGUCUUUCUAAAUUUUGGUCCCCGAUGUUAAAACAAGAUUUUUUUAUGGUAUUAAUCUGCUCUUAAUAAAAUUACAAGAAAUUUUACUUUUACUUUUAUAAACUGUUUCUUUUAAAAAGUCUCAGAAUCAUAUCCCAGAAGUUCAGCUUUUACUGUGUCUCACUGCUUUUUGCUUUUUUGAGGUCUGAGAUAAUUCUUUCCUUCAGCUUUCUCAUCAACUUUUUUUUUCUCCAGUUCUAAUUUUACUGUUGUUAUGAGCUAAUGCUAAAAUAUUUUAUCUUGAAGGUCUAGAAAAGCAAUGUUUACCUCUAGUAUAACUUGAUUCUGUACUUUUGGCUUUUAAAAUACAUCUAAAUUGUCAAUGUAAUCAAAAAACUAAUGCUGUUCCUAAGAGUGAGGUAAUCCUAUGCUAUAAUCAUAACCUUGAAUAUACUCUUCCUAGGUCCAGUUAAAUCCAAGCACUUUUUUCAUCAGGUUUGAUGUCCAGGUUAUCUAAAUGGGCUUCCCAUAAGCAGAAGUAGUCACACUGCAGAAUUUUUCUUUGCCUUUUUGGUAACUGUCUUAAGAAACAAGAUUGUAUAAUUCCUAUGCUGUCUUUAUUAGGUUUUUUUGGUUGCCAAAACUAAGAUUUAAAAGGCUUAAGGUUUUUACAUCAUGUAACCUUCUGUAUUGCUUCUAAAGCAUUUUCAUUAUCACUUUGGCUAAAUGAGUAACUAUUAUUUUACAAUGACCUCUGCUUCUGUUUUGAUCAAAUGUUUUCAGCCUUUUAACAUGUUUAAUAAACAGCCUCAAAAUCAAAAUCCUAAAUUAAGUCUCUGACUUAGUCUUAUUGCUGGGAUUUAUUAAAGUUAUAAAAAUUAAUCACUACAAGACUGUAGAAUCUUUUUACAGCUUUUAGUCACACCAUGAACUCCAUUAUCACCAUAAUAUAGUUUGGAUGUCCCCUCCAAAUCUCAUGUUGAAAUGUAACGCCCAGUGUUGGAGGUGGGGCCUGGUGGGAGGUGGCUGGAUCAUGGGAGCAGAGCCCUCAAGAAUGGCUUGGGCUGUCCCCUUGGUGACAAGUGAGCCCUCACUCUGAUUCACACCAGAUCUGGUUGUUUAAAAGUGUGUGGCACCUCUUCCUCACUGUCACUCUCUCUUUCUUGCUCUUGUUGUCACCAUGUGAAGUGCCUGCUCCUGCUUCACCUUCUGCCAUGAUUGUAAGGUUCCUGAGGACUUUCCAGAAGCCGAUACCAGCACUAUGCUUCCUGUAUAGCCUGCAGAACUAAACAAUUGGGAUAUCAUGCAAGCAAGGAGCUCCCUUACUCCCUGAAGAGGCUCACUGCACACUAUUAUGAGAAGACCCUGUCCCAACCAUCAACAUCUACUGCCUCCAGGAAGGAGUUACAAAAGAACAACCUUCACCCUUUAUCUCCCCUUAAGGUUAAGGGUUCUCUCAUAAGUAGAGGGGGAAAUGUUGGGGAAGCAGGAGCUCAGGAGAGCCAGAGUAACACCAUUUUAAAUUCAGCUCCAUCUUGAGACUAGCAAGGCACGUUCCUUGCCAGUCAUGACCCAGUCAUAAGAUAUUUACAGUUGAGGAAACAACCUAAAGAUACUUACAAUGACACACUCCUACAACAGUAGAAAGUCCAGAUGUCUCAAUACCCAUAACAAUAUAUGUUUUUGAGAUGAUUAACAUAAUUCUUUGAUGUAUUCAUGCACUAAAAUGUCAAGGAUUGUUUUCUUUAAAUCAACAGAAUAAUAAAUUUUGUCAUGCUGUCUGCUCACCCUCACAUAGGCACAGCUUAGUCUUUACAUCGAUAAGACCCCUAUGUAAGAAAAACUUAAAGACAGUCUGCUUGCUUUCUGAGGAUGUCCUACUCUAUAAUGGAGAAGCUUUCAAUAAACUGUCUCUUCUCACUGCACUCUGCAACUCACCUUGAAUUCCUUCCUGCAAGAGAUCCAAGAACUCUAACUCUCUCUUAGAGUCUGGAUCGAGACCCCUUCUCCAGCAACAGUAUCACAGUUUUCUAAGUUACUAAUAAUAUUAAUAUAUACUAAAAGAUUAUUAACAUACCUGAUUCAAGGUAUUUUUUUAAUGAUUCUUCAAGUGAAGGAACAGGCAGUGAUGGAAGAGAAUCCUGGUACUGAAAUGUUCGUUCUUCAGUUGAUUUAGCCAAUUGAUUUUCCAUGAUAAAAUCACAAUAGGAAACCUAAAGAAAAGAGAGAGAGCCCUCACAACUUCAAUCUCAUAGAUAGUGUUACGUAUCCUAGGUACAAUUCACAAUUCACUAAACCAGUAUUUAGGGACCACAGCAUAUCUAGGACUUGGUACCAGCUUUUAUGAAAUUUAUAAAUCUGUCAGAUAGAGAAAACCAACUUAAAAAGAAUGUGUAGACACAAAGUGCUAGAAGUAAAGAGUGAUCAGUGGGACUGGUAUAAUUAGUUACCAUUUAUUGAACACCUAGCAUUUGCCAGGUACUCCAGUUUGCAUUACAGAAAACAUGUGUUAGCUCUCUAACUUUUAUGUUAUCUCUGAAAGGUGGCAUUCUUUGCAAUUUUACAUAUGAAUAUAUCAAAACUCAGAAAUUUAGUAACUUACCUAAUGUCAAACACAGGACCCAAACCCAGAUCUGUUAAGACUACAAUCUUUCCCCUAUACAAAACAACAUGAUAGAA
RNAcentral lists this long non-coding RNA (3194 nucleotides) under Homo sapiens (human). RNAcentral describes it as "HSALNT0125249". Lineage: Eukaryota; Metazoa; Chordata; Mammalia; Primates; Hominidae. The record is from RNAcentral.